AGGUUUCUCUCCCCUCGUUAAAUAGAGAGAAACGGUAUAGCUGCCAACACUCAGCUAGCUCUGGCGGCCUAACACCCGCUAGCGUCCGCCGGAUCGAGCCCUCAGGGUCCGGGAACGGGCGUCAUACUCUGGAGGCUGGCUCUGAACCUUGUCUCAGGGGAAGAGCGAGAACCAUGAGGCUGGCCACGCGGUCCUCCUGCCGGACGGACGGCCGCGAGGCGAGAGAGUCGUGAAGUAGACCGGCUAUCGGCGUAGACGCCUGUGGCUGAGGAUUUCCGGACGUGGGUUCGAUUCCCACCGCCUCCACCA
RNAcentral lists this transfer-messenger RNA (309 nucleotides) under Candidatus Rokuibacteriota bacterium. RNAcentral's name for it is "Candidatus Rokubacteria bacterium partial transfer-messenger RNA". It matches the Rfam family "transfer-messenger RNA", at positions 53 to 374 of the family's 374-position model. From Rfam's summary of the family: Bacterial tmRNA, also known as 10Sa RNA or SsrA, is named for its dual tRNA and mRNA-like properties. The record is from RNAcentral. Lineage: Bacteria; Candidatus Rokuibacteriota.